This 553-nucleotide ribosomal RNA is filed under the name Mucilaginibacter rubeus. RNAcentral's name for it is "bacterial LSU rRNA". It matches the Rfam family "Bacterial large subunit ribosomal RNA", at positions 1 to 595 of the family's 2925-position model. Lineage: Bacteria; Pseudomonadati; Bacteroidota; Sphingobacteriia; Sphingobacteriales; Sphingobacteriaceae. The record is from RNAcentral.
GUUGUAUAGUCAAGUAAUUAAGUGCAUGUGGUGGAUGCCUUGGCAGUCAGAGGCGAUGAAAGACGUGAUAGCCUGCGAAAAGCUCCGGGGAGGCGGCAAAUAUCCUUUGAUCCGGAGAUUUCUGAAUGGGGGAACCCACCCGCUAUAAGGCGGGUAUCAUAAACUGAAUACAUAGGUUUAUGAAGCGAACGAGGGGAAGUGAAACAUCUCAGUACCCUUAGGAAAAGAAAUCAAUUGAGAUUCCCUUAGUAGCGGCGAGCGAACGGGGAGCAGCCCAUUAAGUUAUGUGUGUUUUAGUGGAACGCUCUGGGAAGUGCGAACGUAGAGGGUGAUAUUCCCGUACACGAAAGGGCACACAUAAUGAUGACGAGUAGGGCGAGGCACGUGAAACCUUGUCUGAAUAUGGGGGGACCAUCCUCCAAGGCUAAAUACUCCUGACUGACCGAUAGUGAACCAGUACCGUGAGGGAAAGGCGAAAAGAACCCCUGUGAGGGGAGUGAAAUAGAUCCUGAAACCGCAUGCAUACAAGCAGUGGGAGCCGACUUGUUCGGUG